RNAcentral lists this ribosomal RNA (468 nucleotides) under uncultured bacterium. RNAcentral's name for it is "partial 16S ribosomal RNA". It matches the Rfam family "Bacterial small subunit ribosomal RNA", at positions 28 to 507 of the family's 1533-position model. The record is from RNAcentral.
GACGAACGCUGGCGGCGUGCUUAACACAUGCAAGUCGAACGGAAAGGCCCUGCUUUUGUGGGGUGCUCGAGUGGCGAACGGGUGAGUAACACGUGAGUAACCUGCCCUUGACUUUGGGAUAGCUUCAGGAAACUGGGGCUAAUACCGGAUAGGAGCUCCUGCUGCAUGGUGGGGGUUGGAAAGUUUCGGCGGUUGGGGAUGGGCUCGCGGCUUAUCAGCUUGUUGGUGGGGUAGUGGCUUACCAAGGCUUUGACGGGUAGCCGGCCUGAGAGGGUGACCGGCCACAUUGGGACUGAGAUACGGCCCAGACUCCUACGGGAGGCAGCAGUGGGGAAUAUUGCACAAUGGGCGGAAGCCUGAUGCAGCAACGCCGCGUGCGGGAUGACGGCCUUCGGGUUGUAAACCGCUUUCGCCUGUGACGAAGCGUGAGUGACGGUAAUGGGUAAAGAAGCACCGGCUAACUACGUG